GACGAACGCUGGCGGCGUGCUUAACACAUGCAAGUCGAACGGAAAGGCCCUGCUUUUGUGGGUUGCUCGAGUGGCGAACGGGUGAGUAACACGUGAGUAACCUGCCCUUGACUUUGGGAUAACUUCAGGAAACUGGGGCUAAUACCGGAUAGGAGCUCCUGCUGCAUGGUGUGGGUUGGAAAGUUUCGGCGGUUGGGGAUGGACUCGCGGCUUAUCAGCUUGUUGGUGAGGUAGUGGCUUACCAAGGCUUUGACGGGUAGCCGGCCUGAGAGGGUGACCGGCCACAUUGGGACUGAGAGACGGCCCAGAAUCCUACGGGAGGCAGAAGUGGGGAAUAUUGCACAAUGGGCGGAAGCCUGAUGCAGCAACGCCGCGUGCGGGAUGACGGCCUUCGGGUUGUAAACCGCUUUCGCCUGUGACGAAGCGUGAGUGACGGUAAUGGGUAAAGAAGCACCGGCUAACUACGUG
RNAcentral lists this ribosomal RNA (468 nucleotides) under uncultured bacterium. RNAcentral describes it as "partial 16S ribosomal RNA". It matches the Rfam family "Bacterial small subunit ribosomal RNA", at positions 28 to 507 of the family's 1533-position model. The record is from RNAcentral.